Molecule: long non-coding RNA, 1695 nt
Organism: Mugil cephalus (flathead mullet)
Lineage: Eukaryota; Metazoa; Chordata; Actinopteri; Mugiliformes; Mugilidae
Exons: 2
Source: RefSeq, a predicted model, not a curated record
GAAAUAUUACAGUGAAUACCUCAAUAAAUAAUACGCGACCUUCAAAUCGAGUCACGCUUGCCAUCUAUAUGAACAGCUCCCUCUUGUAAUAUUCACAACACUGUAACAGGACCUUUUUAAUAGACUCAUAUAAAGUAUUCUUCAGCAUUUUAUAAGUAAAUGUUGGUUGUUAGCUUGCUUAAACCUCUACCCUCUAUGGCUUCUAGACCAGGACACUAGCAGGUUCUUAUAAAGUGACCAAGCAUUUACACUGAGCAUGUUGUGACUUCCCAUCUUAUAUCCAUAAGCUAAUGAGUUCCAUUUGACUGCAGCACUGGACAAGCACCGGCAUCGAGGCAGGCAGGAAACUGAGAAACACACAAGUCGACUGCAGCCCGGCAGACGCCCCCACCCCACCCCGACCACAUCUUGUCCUGCUGCAGCUGUGGGGGCCCAUCGUAACAAUCCUCACCACCUACAGCUUGAUACGAGAGUCCGGUUGAGAGCAAUUUCCAGAUUGGCUUACAGUGCGGGGAGGAACUCUACAAUGGAAUCAUUUUUCUCCACAUCACCAGCAGCUGUUAGAGGAAGAGUAGGAGUUUAUAUUGUUUAAUUUUCAUUCGUGAAUAGCCCUUCUGUCACGCACACGGAGCCUUUUGGUUCGGUGCAACUGUAUCUGUCAUCUGCAUCGUCACAAGGCAAUGUCCCACAGAGACGCCUUCAGUGAGGACCAUGUGAAUGCCAUUUGGGCUCACAGUACAGGAGAAUGCAACUAUUCACAUCACUCAUAAGUAAACUUAGUUACAGUGCAGGAAAUAUACGUUCACCAUAUGGCGGUUUCUGUGUGUAUGCAUUUACACAGAGGCCGUACAUUUUCCAGCACAGAGACCACUGACCUUUAUAACGACCAAUCUAUUUUAUCUGCGUUGGUGUUUGCAUUAAGAAAAGCUCCAAAUAGUUUCGGUAAAUCUUGCUAUUGUUAGACUGGAACAUCUAAGCCGCAAAUAUACAACCAGUGGCAAAAGUAAAUUAUAUGUUAGCCUGACAUAAUGGUAUAGUCAUCAGUUUUACAUACUCCAGAGUAUGUUUUGUGGUGAACAUCUUCUGCUGGAACACAAUGCACAGAGUAAAAUUAGCUACUUUUCAAGGUUCCUGGAUGCAAUGGUGCACUUAACCCCCUAUAGGGCAAGUGAUCAUAUUCUGUAACGUUAGCACACAUUUUAAAUUGAGUCCCUGUCUCUCUGAUUGAGGUUGAGAAGCAUGUGGUUUCCAGUCAAUCAGCAAAGAUCAACACAACGUUUUCAAGUGGUCUAAUGUUGUCUAAUGUCAUAAUGUGUAUGUUGGCAAGCGCCUGAAUCAGCACUUAAGGGCAAGAGAUCAUCUAUGGUAACUUCAUUCGCCUUGAUUUUCUACAUGAAUGGGGGGAAAAAAAGAAAAAUGUCACAAAAGUUAAAAAAAAAAGUCUCCAUAUACCCUAAAAUAACACUCUAAGGCAGGGGUCUGCAACAUUUUUCAGGCCAAGGACCCCCAAUAUGAUGAGAUUAAAGUAAGGACAACCUUCCUACUAUAUGUGUUCUAUAUUAAACUCAGCCUAGUGCAGGUAAAUACCUGCAGAACUUCAGUGAAUGCACUAUAAAGGGUUAACUGUAACAUGUCAGUAAAAUCCUUUGUUUAAUGUACAUUGAUAUAUUGAAAUAAAAUACUUUGGCAACCACA